UGCGGAGGGAUCAUUACAAGAACGCCCGGGCUUCGGCCUGGUUAUUCAUAACCCUUUGUUGUCCGACUCUGUUGCCUCCGGGGCGACCCUGCCUUCGGGCGGGGGCUCCGGGUGGACACUUCAAACUCUUGCGUAACUUUGCAGUCUGAGUAAACUUAAUUAAUAAAUUAAAACUUUUAACAACGGAUCUCUUGGUUCUGGCAUCGAUGAAGAACGCAGCGAAAUGCGAUAAGUAAUGUGAAUUGCAGAAUUCAGUGAAUCAUCGAAUCUUUGAACGCACAUUGCGCCCCCUGGUAUUCCGGGGGGCAUGCCUGUUCGAGCGUCAUUUCACCACUCAAGCCUCGCUUGGUAUUGGGCAACGCGGUCCGCCGCGUGCCUCAAAUCGUCCGGCUGGGUCUUCUGUCCCCUAAGCGUUGUGGAAACUAUUCGCUAAAGGGUGUUCGGGAGGCUACGCCGUAAAACAACCCCAUUUCUAAGGUUGACCUCGGAUCAGGUAGGGAUACCCGCUGAACUUAAGCAUAUCAAUAAGCGGAGGA
RNAcentral lists this ribosomal RNA (536 nucleotides) under Davidiellaceae sp. PIMO_18. RNAcentral describes it as "eukaryotic LSU rRNA". The stretch from base 172 to 325 matches the Rfam family "5.8S ribosomal RNA". Lineage: Eukaryota; Fungi; Ascomycota; Dothideomycetes; Cladosporiales; Cladosporiaceae. The record is from RNAcentral.